RNAcentral lists this ribosomal RNA (301 nucleotides) under uncultured bacterium. RNAcentral's name for it is "partial 16S ribosomal RNA". It matches the Rfam family "Bacterial small subunit ribosomal RNA", at positions 509 to 807 of the family's 1533-position model. The record is from RNAcentral.
CAGUCGCCGCGGGAAUACGUAGGUGGCAAGCGUUGUCCGGAAUUAUUGGGCGUAAAGGGCUCGCAGGCGGUUUCUUAAGUCUGAUGUGAAAGCCCCCGGCUCAACCGGGGAGGGUCAUUGGAAACUGGGAAACUUGGGUGCAGAAGAGGAGAGUGGAAUUCCACGUGUAGCGGUGAAAUGCGUAGAGAUGUGGAGGAACACCAGUGGCGAAGGCGACUCUCUGGUCUGUAACUGACGCUGAGGAGCGAAAGCGUGGGGAGCGAACAGGAUUAGAUACCCCGGUAGUCCCUGUCUCUUAUAC